ACCCUGUAGGUGCUGCAGGGGUGGUCACUGUGUCACUUGUGCGUCAGUAGAUGACAGGGAGGAGAAAGGCUAUGGCUAUGUUCAGUGUUCUGACCUGUGAACAUCUGAAUGAUCAGUAUCCUGGAAAA
RNAcentral lists this small nucleolar RNA (128 nucleotides) under Mus pahari (shrew mouse). RNAcentral's name for it is "predicted gene, 23906 (MGP_PahariEiJ_G0034877.1)". It matches the Rfam family "Small nucleolar RNA SNORA17". From Rfam's summary of the family: snoRNA ACA 17 belongs to the H/ACA family of snoRNAs and is predicted to guide pseudouridylation of the 28S rRNA at positions U4659 and U4598. Lineage: Eukaryota; Metazoa; Chordata; Mammalia; Rodentia; Muridae. The record is from RNAcentral.